This 25-nucleotide ribosomal RNA is filed under the name uncultured Russula. RNAcentral describes it as "partial 28S ribosomal RNA". The record is from RNAcentral. Lineage: Eukaryota; Fungi; Basidiomycota; Agaricomycetes; Russulales; Russulaceae.
UGGACCCACGAAAAGAAAACCUGAC